GCAAGAGAUAGAGGUGCAGACCAUAAGGUAGCGCAGGAUGACAAGGACGGGGCGUCCGAUGACAUGCGUGAAUGUAUGAUUUGCCGAAAGUAAUUCGCAGCCCCAUGCGCUUUACUUGGGAGUGAUGCUCAGCGCAGCACUCUUGUCAUGUAGGACAUGAAGCGCUAUCGGUUCG
RNAcentral lists this non-coding RNA (175 nucleotides) under Clostridium sp. RNAcentral describes it as "Lysine sequence". It matches the Rfam family "Lysine riboswitch aptamer". From Rfam's summary of the family: Riboswitches are metabolite binding domains within certain messenger RNAs that serve as precision sensors for their corresponding targets. The record is from RNAcentral. Lineage: Bacteria; Bacillati; Bacillota; Clostridia; Eubacteriales; Clostridiaceae.